Schistosoma curassoni is the source of this 48-nucleotide non-coding RNA. Lineage: Eukaryota; Metazoa; Platyhelminthes; Trematoda; Strigeidida; Schistosomatidae. The record is from Rfam.
AUCCAGCUGACUAGUGCCAAAUAGGACGAAACGUGCGUGAAACUGGAU